This 301-nucleotide ribosomal RNA is filed under the name uncultured bacterium. Its description in RNAcentral is "partial 16S ribosomal RNA". It matches the Rfam family "Bacterial small subunit ribosomal RNA", at positions 509 to 807 of the family's 1533-position model. The record is from RNAcentral.
CAGCCGCCACGGGAAUACGUAGGUGGCAAGCGUUGUCCGGAAUUAUUGGGCGUAAAGGGCUCGCAGGCGGUUUCUUAAGUCUGAUGUGAAAGCCCCCGGCUCAACCGGGGAGGGUCAUUGGAAACUGGGAAACUUGAGUGCAGAAGAGGAGAGUGGAAUCCCACGUGUAGCGGUGUAAUGCGUAGAGAUGUGGAGGAACACCAGUGGCGAAGGCGACUCUCUGGUCUGUAACUGACGCUGAGGAGCGAAAGCGUGGGGAGCGAACAGGAUUAGAUACCCGAGUAGUCCCUGUCUCUUAUAC